RNAcentral lists this ribosomal RNA (1070 nucleotides) under Hondaella brachytheciella. Its description in RNAcentral is "eukaryotic LSU rRNA". It matches the Rfam family "Eukaryotic large subunit ribosomal RNA", at positions 47 to 1111 of the family's 3401-position model. Lineage: Eukaryota; Viridiplantae; Streptophyta; Bryopsida; Hypnales; Hypnaceae. The record is from RNAcentral.
UAAGCGGAGGAGAAGAAACUANCCAGGAUUUCCCUAGUAACGGCGAGCGAACCGGAAAGAGCCCAGCUUGAAAAUCGUGGUGCCUCGCACCUCGAGUUGUAGUCUGGAGAAGGUCCCUMUGCGGCGCGCCGGACCCAAGUUCCCUGGAAAGGRACGUCAUCGAGGGUGACAACCCCGUCCGUGCCCGGAACGCGUCGCUCCACGAGGAUCUGUCUGCGAGUCGGGCUGUUUGGGAAUGCAGCCCUAAUCGGGAGGUAAAUUCCUUCUAAGGCUAAAUAUGGGCAAGAGACCGAUAGCGAACAAGUACCGCGAGGGAAAGAUGAAAAGGACUUUGAAAAGAGAGUUAAAAAGUGCUUGAAAUUGCUGGGAGGGAAGCGAAUGGAAGCUGCGGGUGCCGCCCCGGUUGGAUGCGGAACGGCUUCGGCUGGUCCGCCGCUCAACGCGGGGCGCUGGUCAGCGUGGGCCACGGCGCCGGGACAAGAGCGGGGAUUCGCUUCCCGCCUAUGCCGGUGCGGUGGCCGAGGAACGAAGCGCGCGCCUCUUGGCGUGGGUUCGCCCAACUGCGCGCUCGGGACGCUGGCGUAUUGAGCUCUUCAUCCGACCCGUCUUGAAACACGGACCAAGGAGUCUAACAUGUAUGCGAGCCGGUGGGCGGCAAACCCAUUGAGGCGCAAGUAAACUGACAGGUGGGACCCCGNCCGCAAGGGAGGGAGCACCAUCGRCCGACCGUGAUCUUCUGUGAAAGGUUUGAGUGUGAGCAUACCUGUUGGGACCCGAAAGAUGGUGAACUAUGCCUGAGCAGGGCGAAGCCAGAGGAAACYYUGGUGGAGGCUSGUAGCGAUACUGACGUGCAAAUCGUUCGUCAGACUUGGGUAUAGGGGCGAAAGACUAAUCGAMCCAUCUAGUAGCUGGUUCCCUCCGAAGUUUCCCUCAGGAUAGCUGGAGMUCGUGUACAAGUUUUAUCAGGUAAAGCGAAUGAUUAGAGGCAUCGGGGGUGUAACACCCUCGACCUAUUCUCAAACUUUAAAUAGGUAAGCCGCCGGGGUUGCUUGGUUGAACCCCGGCNCAGA